AUGCUGAGGACGCAGCGCCGGAGAGGCAGGUGGCGGCCCCUGCGAAGAGGUGGUCCCCGCAAAGCACACGGAGACCACGAAGUUCCUUCUCGCCCACUCACAGCAAUGCUGCACGAGGUCCUUUUCUGGAAAGGUCAAAGGGACGAGAGGGGGUCUCUGCAGUGUCCUGGAUCUGGUUUCAACCUCACCUUCUCCAUGUAUGAGAAAACAAGUCACUUGGAUUCACUGUGCCUCGGUUUCCCCAGAUGGCGAGCAGGACUCAGUCUUUUGCACCUGGUCCAUCAGAGGACAAGCUUUCAUGUGUUAGCCAUCACCUCCGUCAUCACCAUCAUUGUCAUCAUCAUCGUCCUCAUCACCUCGACACACUGA
Molecule: long non-coding RNA, 369 nt
Filed under: Papio anubis (olive baboon)
Lineage: Eukaryota; Metazoa; Chordata; Mammalia; Primates; Cercopithecidae
Description: lncRNA (ENSPANG00000044042.1)
Source: RNAcentral